Molecule: microRNA, 21 nt
Filed under: Panagrellus redivivus
Lineage: Eukaryota; Metazoa; Nematoda; Chromadorea; Rhabditida; Panagrolaimidae
Description: prd-miR-184-5p
Gene: prd-miR-184-5p
Source: miRBase by way of RNAcentral
UAUAAAUCAUCUGUCCGGCCC